UGUCUGGUAGUCGGUAAAAGUGGUAACCCGAACCCGGACCCGAACCGGAAUGUGCUGGAAAUUUGCCGAACCGGAAAUCUAUUUAACGAAUUUUAUGCCAUUUGCGUUUCGAUUUUUUUCUACUAACGUUUAUGCAUUUGAUGUAUAAUUAAAUUCUUUCUCAUGCAUGAAAAGAUUUGUGUCAAAACAUCACUAACAAAG
Molecule: long non-coding RNA, 201 nt
Filed under: Mytilus galloprovincialis (Mediterranean mussel)
Lineage: Eukaryota; Metazoa; Mollusca; Bivalvia; Mytilida; Mytilidae
Source: RNAcentral